GUGAGGAAUUUUCCGCAAUGGACGAAAGCCUGACGGAGCAAUGCCGCGUGAAGGAUGAAGGCCUAUGGGUUGUAAACUUCUUUUCUCAGAAAAGAAUUAUGACGGUAUCUGAGGAAUAAGCAUCGGCUAACUCUGUGCCAGCAGCCGCGGUAAGACAGAGGAUGCAAGCGUUAUCCGGAAUGAUUGGGCGUAAAGCGUCUGUAGGUUGUUUAAAAAGUAUUCUGUCAAAGAUUAGGGCUUAACCCUAGAUAGGCAGAAUAAACUUUUAAGCUAGAGUUUGGUGGAGGCAGAGGGAAUUCCCGGUGGAGCGGUGAAAUGCGUAGAUAUCGGGAGGAACACCAAAGGCGAAGGCACUCUGCUGGGCCAAUACUAACACUGAGAGACGAAAGCGAGGGGAGCAAAUGGGAUUAGAAACCCCAGUAGUCC
This 426-nucleotide ribosomal RNA is filed under the name uncultured bacterium. Its description in RNAcentral is "partial 16S ribosomal RNA". It matches the Rfam family "Bacterial small subunit ribosomal RNA", at positions 354 to 796 of the family's 1533-position model. The record is from RNAcentral.